RNAcentral lists this ribosomal RNA (912 nucleotides) under uncultured Bacteroidota bacterium. RNAcentral describes it as "bacterial SSU rRNA". It matches the Rfam family "Bacterial small subunit ribosomal RNA", at positions 1 to 903 of the family's 1533-position model. Lineage: Bacteria; Pseudomonadati; Bacteroidota. The record is from RNAcentral.
UGGAUCCAGACUUUGAUUCUGGCUCAGGAUGAACGCUAGCUACAGGCUUAACACAUGCAAGUCGAGGGGAAACGACAUCGAAAGCUUGCUUUUGAUGGGCGUCGACCGGCGCACGGGUGAGUAACGCGUAUCCAACCUGCCCACCACUUGGGGAUAACCUUGCGAAAGUAAGACUAAUACCCAAUGACGUCUCUAGAAGACAUCUGAAAGGGAUUAAAGAUUUAUCGGUGAUGGAUGGGGAUGCGUCUGAUUAGCUUGUUGGCGGGGUAACGGCCCACCAAGGCUACGAUCAGUAGGGGUUCUGAGAGGAAGGUCCCCCACAUUGGAACUGAGACACGGUCCAAACUCCUACGGGAGGCAGCAGUGAGGAAUAUUGGUCAAUGGACGAGAGUCUGAACCAGCCAAGUAGCGUGCAGGAUGACGGCCCUAUGGGUUGUAAACUGCUUUUAUAAGGGAAUAAAGUGAGUCUCGUGAGGCUUUUUGCAUGUACCUUAUGAAUAAGGACCGGCUAAUUCCGUGCCAGCAGCCGCGGUAAUACGGAAGGUCCGGGCGUUAUCCGGAUUUAUUGGGUUUAAAGGGAGCGUAGGCCGGAGAUUAAGCGUGUUGUGAAAUGUAGAUGCUCAACAUCUGCACUGCAGCGCGAACUGGUUUCCUUGAGUACGCACAAAGUGGGCGGAAUUCGUGGUGUAGCGGUGAAAUGCUUAGAUAUCACGAAGAACUCCGAUUGCGAAGGCAGCUCACUGGAGCGCAACUGACGCUGAAGCUCGAAAGUGCGGGUAUCGAACAGGAUUAGAUACCCUGGUAGUCCGCACGGUAAACGAUGGAUGCCCGCUGUUGGUCUGAAUAGGUCAGCGGCCAAGCGAAAGCAUUAAGCAUCCCACCUGGGGAGUACGCCGGCAACGGUGCAACUCA